AAAUUGAAGAGUUUGAUCAUGGCUCAGAUUGAACGCUGGCGGCAGGCCUAACACAUGCAAGUCGAACGGUAACAGGAAGCAGCUUGCUGCUUCGCUGACGAGUGGCGGACGGGUGAGUAAUGUCUGGGAAACUGCCUGAUGGAGGGGGAUAACUACUGGAAACGGUAGCUAAUACCGCAUAACGUCGCAAGACCAAAGAGGGGGACCUUCGGGCCUCUUGCCAUCGGAUGUGCCCAGAUGGGAUUAGCUUGUUGGUGGGGUAACGGCUCACCAAGGCGACGAUCCCUAGCUGGUCUGAGAGGAUGACCAGCCACACUGGAACUGAGACACGGUCCAGACUCCUACGGGAGGCAGCAGUGGGGAAUAUUGCACAAUGGGCGCAAGCCUGAUGCAGCCAUGCCGCGUGUAUGAAGAAGGCCUUCGGGUUGUAAAGUACUUUCAGCGGGGAGGAAGGGAGUAAAGUUAAUACCUUUGCUCAUUGACGUUACCCGCAGAAGAAGCACCGGCUAACUCCGUGCCAGCAGCCGCGGUAAUACGG
This 538-nucleotide ribosomal RNA is filed under the name Shigella sonnei. Its description in RNAcentral is "bacterial SSU rRNA". It matches the Rfam family "Bacterial small subunit ribosomal RNA", at positions 1 to 528 of the family's 1533-position model. The record is from RNAcentral. Lineage: Bacteria; Pseudomonadati; Pseudomonadota; Gammaproteobacteria; Enterobacterales; Enterobacteriaceae.